CCCAAAAGAAAGGAAGUUAUUUUAAAAUCAUGAGCUAAAGUAUAUUUUGGGAGUAAUAGUAGGCACCGAUGUGGGGAUAAAUGUUCAUAUUAAAUCAAGUCCCCAUGUAAACCAUGUACCCAUCAUGGGGUUUAACGGGUCAUAUUUUUCAUAAGAUCACAUAAGUUAAGCUAGUGUAUCCACUAAGUUAAGGAGGUCUAUAUGAAGACAAAGUAUAGAAUAAUUCUUGCUGUGUGGGCAAGACACUGUAUCACCACUUAGGCUCAUAGUGGUGGUUUACGGUUAAAGAAUCUUCCACAUAAACUAUAUUACUUUCAUUAUAAGUAAAGUUGAGUUUGUUAUUGCAUUAUCUUUAACGAACUACGUUGUUUACACUGUUUUACAAGUUUUAUAUACAUCUAUUGUACGUGUCUUUAUUGCUUUAUAUUGAGUUAAUAUUUCAUGAGUUGAGCGGAGACAAGGUAAGUUCUUCUUAAUCCUUUCAAGAUUUAAGUUGUUGUUAACAUUCCAACUCUCAUACUCAUACAUUCAAUGUACUGACGCCACUUGUCCUGCAUCAUCUUAUGAUGCAAACAUAGGUAACCAGGAUCAGCAUCAUCCAGCGCCUCGUUGAUCUAGUGAGCAUUCUAGAAAGUGAUAACUAUGCCUCCAUGAAGAGCAGAAAGAGGUCAUCUUGCUAGGAGGAAUGUUGAACCUCAGGAACAGGAGUUACCUAAUGCUCCUGAAGUGCAACCUCAGGGGGAGGUUACAAAUGCUGAGUUCCGUGAGGCUAUCCGGAUGCUAAGCCAAGUGGUGACAAACCAAGUUGAGCAACAAAGGGGAUCUCGACAAGAAGGUCUUGACACUUCAAGCAUUCGUAGACAGUGGCGAGCCUCCUUGCAUUUUGGAGUACACUUUUAUUCGCUCUCUAGUAUUUCAUUUAUAGAAUAUUAUGGGGCCUGUAUGAACUUGCAUCUUAGUAUUGUAGAGGUUUCAUAGAAAAUCAGAUAGUUAGUUUGAGUCUCA
Molecule: long non-coding RNA, 1005 nt
Organism: Solanum lycopersicum (tomato)
Lineage: Eukaryota; Viridiplantae; Streptophyta; Magnoliopsida; Solanales; Solanaceae
Source: RefSeq, a predicted model, not a curated record